CAAAGCUGACGUUUAAACGGGUAAAUUAAUGUGAUCUUCAAGAGGUGCUGUAGACUUGCGGGUUGUUUCUUAAAGACUAGAAAGAUGUAGUGGCUCAAAUGUCUUAUAGUCUUAUCACAGUAAAUACUUCAGUGACAGACAGCUAUGACUUCAAAACAGGGAUUCAGACUGAAAUACAAAAAAUAUGUCAGUAAAGAUCAAUAAUUGAAGAGAUUUUAUGGAUGGGACUCACAUGAAAUAGAGUUUCCAAGGGUCUAUAAUCUUAGCCAGAAAACUGCAUGUGAGCAAGGGGAAUGUGGUAAGAGAAGACUGGUGAUAAUAAACAGAGGCCAUGCAAAAAAAAAAAAUGUAAGUAACUUCACAAAGAAUGUUUAAAACUGGCUAAAA
Ruditapes philippinarum (Manila clam) is the source of this 387-nucleotide long non-coding RNA. RefSeq lists it as uncharacterized. Lineage: Eukaryota; Metazoa; Mollusca; Bivalvia; Venerida; Veneridae. The transcript is spliced from 3 exons. The record is from RefSeq and is a predicted model, not a curated record.